This 253-nucleotide ribosomal RNA is filed under the name uncultured bacterium. RNAcentral describes it as "partial 16S ribosomal RNA". It matches the Rfam family "Bacterial small subunit ribosomal RNA", at positions 524 to 776 of the family's 1533-position model. The record is from RNAcentral.
AACGUAGGAGACAAACGUUAUCCGGAGUUACUGGGCGUAAAGGGCGUGCAGGCGGUCUGUUAAGUCUGGCGUGAAAGCUCUCGGCUAAACCGGGAGAGGUCGUUGGAUACUGACGGACUAGAGGACGGUAGAGGCGUGUGGAAUUCCGGGUGUAGUGGUGAAAUGCGCAGAUAUCAGGAAGAACACCAAUGGCGAAGGCAGCUCUCUGGGACGGUACUGACGCUGAGACGCGAAAGCGUGGGGAGCGAACAGG